CGAUAUUCAGAAUUGCUCGGCUCAUUAUGCUGUUCCACUCUUAUCAGUGGUAACCCAAUCUUAAGUGGAAUCAUCGCUCUGUCCUAUAAGCUAAAUUAGAUGGCAAUUCUUCCAUCGGUAUGCGAAGAGUUAUCGGAUAUGCUCAUGAGAUCGGAUAUAAUUCUUUCACCCAAAGAUCUUUAGCUUCAUUCAGCCUGGUCUUGAGACCAUGUAGGA
RNAcentral lists this long non-coding RNA (216 nucleotides) under Elaeis guineensis (African oil palm). Its description in RNAcentral is "long non-coding RNA (EGUI_LNC036816)". The record is from RNAcentral. Lineage: Eukaryota; Viridiplantae; Streptophyta; Magnoliopsida; Arecales; Arecaceae.